AGGAUUUAUUGAGCUUUGAAUGGGUUUACUUCUAUUUUGAGAUGAUGUUGGUUUCUAUUGAAAUAAUGCUGGUGCUAAAUUGUUAUGCUGGUUUGUAUUAAAAAAGAAAGAUGAGGCUAAGGUGUUUUGAAAUGAUGGCUACUUUGAAACUUAGUAGAUAGGAAGUAUAGCAAGUCGGACUCGUAGCUUUUUGAACGCAGGCGUGGCCAUGCUGUCCUGAAAAG
Molecule: long non-coding RNA, 224 nt
Filed under: Cicer arietinum (chickpea)
Lineage: Eukaryota; Viridiplantae; Streptophyta; Magnoliopsida; Fabales; Fabaceae
Description: long non-coding RNA (CARI_LNC000215)
Source: RNAcentral